This 495-nucleotide ribosomal RNA is filed under the name uncultured Sphingobacteriales bacterium. RNAcentral's name for it is "bacterial SSU rRNA". It matches the Rfam family "Bacterial small subunit ribosomal RNA", at positions 904 to 1382 of the family's 1533-position model. Lineage: Bacteria; Pseudomonadati; Bacteroidota; Sphingobacteriia; Sphingobacteriales. The record is from RNAcentral.
CCAGCCCGCUCAGAAACUCAAGGAAUUGACGGGGGCCCGCACAAGCGGUGGAGCAUGUGGUUUAAUUCGAUGAUACGCGAGGAACCUUACCUGGGCUCAAAUGUAUGUUGACGUAUUCUGAAAGGGAUACUUCUUCGGACAAUAUACAAGGUGCUGCAUGGUUGUCGUCAGCUCGUGCCGUGAGGUGUCGGGUUAAGUCCCAUAACGAGCGCAACCCCUAUCAUUAGUUGCCAUCAGGUCAAGCUGGGGACUCUAAUGAAACUGCCUACGCAAGUAGUGAGGAAGGUGGGGAUGACGUCAAAUCAGCACGGCCCUUACGUCCAGGGCUACACACGUGCUACAAUGGCCGGUACAAAGGGCAGCUACCUGGUGACAGGAUGCUAAUCUCAAAAGUCGGUCUCAGUUCGGAUCGGAGUCUGCAACCCGACUCCGUGAAGUUGGAUUCGCUAGUAAUCGCGCAUCAGCCAUGGCGCGGUGAAUACGUUCCCGGGCCUU